RNAcentral lists this long non-coding RNA (5817 nucleotides) under Sus scrofa (pig). RNAcentral's name for it is "lncRNA (ENSSSCG00050053718.1)". The record is from RNAcentral. Lineage: Eukaryota; Metazoa; Chordata; Mammalia; Artiodactyla; Suidae.
ACAUCUGAGAAAACUUUUUGUUUGUCUGCCAUAACCAGAGCAGCAUGUCCCAGAUAGAAGCUGUUCCAUCAGCCUCAUUUCCAGAAUGAAGAGGAAUGAAUGGAAAGCAGAGAUGCAGUUAAAGCAUACUGGUUUUACCACACUUGGAAGUAAUCUCUCACCUUCUGAACAACCAUGACAUCCCUCCAAAAUGUCCAUCCCCCACUGGUGGUUACUCUGAAAUAUUACUCAGUCUACUGAGCAGUGAAAGCUGACUCAAGGUAGAAGAAAAGGCAAUGCAGAGAAAAGAAAUUGCAUGAACAAUGGCAUGGAUGUUUUGGAGAGAAAUGAGUGGAUUGGUGUAAUGAAGCAUGCACUAUGACACAAAAAUGGGUAAGAGUUGUCAGGAAAUGUGGCUCGAGUGGUAAGAGUGAACCAAGGUUCUAUAUAAACCCAUAAACUCACACUAAGCAAUGGGAACUCCACCCUUUAGCAAUGGGCCGUCAGUGAAGAGGCAGAAAAUUCACUGACAGCCAGUUGGAAGAUAGUGAGGGAUAGCUGUUGGAAGCAGGGAGAAUAAUUUAGACAGUAGUGAUGUUCCAGAAAAGAGGCUGAACACUGAAACAGAGGUGAGCAGGGAGAAAGUUUAAAGAUAUAGUCUCAUUCAAUUUAUAAGUUUCUAGUCCUGAUGAAAUACUCCGAGUCAAAGUGAAGAAAUGGAUGACGAGGAUGUGUCUUACAAAAGAGAAGAGAAACAUGUGACAGCUUUAGGUGAAUAAAAAAUUUUCAUCCUAUGAAAAAGAUGACAUUCAUUCUUGGGAAGAUGCAACUCUAAGGCCCUGAGCUCUUGAUUCAGAAUACAUGGAUUUAAAACUGUUUCUACUAUUUAAUAACUGAGCACCUUGGGAAAGUUACUCAAUAUUUCCAUGCUUUAAUCUGUACAGUGAGACGCACCAUGAAAACUUCUCAUAAUAAUGAGACUCUUGGAGUUCCCAUUGUGGCUCAGUGGUAUUGAACCCAACUAGUAUCCAUGAGGACAGGGUUCAAUCCCUGGCCUUACUCAGUGUGUUUAGGAUCUGGUGUUGCCAUGAGCUGUGGUGUAGGUCAUAGACGUGGUUCAGACCUGGCGUUGCUAGGCUGUGGCAUAGGCCAGUUGCUGCACUUCUGAUUAGGCCCCUAGCCUGGGAACUUCCAUAUGCUACAGGUGCAGCCCGAAAUAGCAAAAAAAAAAAGGGGGGGGGGGGAGAGGGACUGUCAUGAGGAUUAAAUGAGAUAAUGCAUGUAAAACUCAAGAGUACCUGGCACAUCUUAAAGCCUCAAGAAGAAUCACACCUUAGAAGUGGUAGUAGACAUUACCAACCUCCAAAGAUGCAUUGACAGCCAAUUCAUCCUAUUUACCCUAAAACAUUCAGAUUAUCUGUUUUGCUUUUUUUUAAUGGAUGUGGAAUCCCAAGAGGAUCAAUUAAACAUAGAAGCAGUCCAUUUUUAAAAGAAAGUCUUUUUGUUGCUGUUGUUAUAUUCAAAAAUUUAUUCAAUCAGUGAAAGAGAAAGAGAUCAAUGUCUUGAGAAAGUUGUGCAGUGGGCAUCAUCUUGCUUUCCUGAUCUCAACAUCCCCAGGAGGGUUUAAAGAUUCUUGACACCCAGGCAAACACAAAUCACAUCAGCAAAAAAGCAAUGCUAUUAUAGCCAGCAGCAUCGUCUCAAAUUAUAGAGAAAUAGGGAAUGAGACAAAGAUAAAGAAGGGAAGGUAAAAGGAUAGAGUCUAUAUUUUUUGUUUUUUUUUUUUUAAAAAAAACUCUAAUAAGCAAGAAGACCUUGUGAGAAACUAAAAAGAAAUUAACAUGAGAGCAGAAUCUUGAUGUACAGCUACAGCCUUAAAAAUAGGAUGCAAUUAAGUGCUUCUAACAAGGCUCCAGUAGUCUGAUGGUAAGUGUAGAAAGACCAGCUUAAUGAAAUGUCAUGGGGACACUGCUUAUAACAAUCAUAUGCCCUGGAUGCCAAAUGGAGCUGUACCUGCUGGCAAAACAGUUAUAGGGGAAAAGAACAAAAGCCUGCCAGCUGUUAAGAAAUAGAACAGAAUGAGGCUCAGGGCCCUAGGGGAAGGUGGAAAAUUAACACAGCCUCUGUGUCUUACUUAUGUUUUCCUUACCACUGUGCUUUUCUUUUCUGGAUUUAAAAUUGUGCAUUGCCCACUAGGUGGGGGCUCUUUUAGAAAAGUAGCAUUGGACCUAGCCUGGACAUUGCAAAUUUGGAGAUCAGGGUGGGAAUAAGAUUGUAUAGAACCAGGGAUGAGGUGUACCUUGCAAGGCUUUAUAGCUAUUCUUAUCAUUUGCUUCAUUAUUUCCCCCUGAAUUCACUUUUUAUUCCUCUGUGGCCAGUUAACUUACCUUAGGCUUCUGCUCAUUCAUGUCUCUCUCAAAGGAAAGCGUGUAUGAGACAUCAUCUCUAAAUAGUUCAUCUAAAAUUUUUCUCUCUCAAAUCUCCCAGGGAUUUUCUUGCAUUACCCCACUUCAUUUUCCUUACAGCAUGUAUCUGUUUAUAAGACACCAUUCAUUCAUUUUUUUGGAUUGUUUACUGAUCUGUUAUUUGUCUUGCCCUCUGUGAUGCAAGUUCCAUGUGAACACAAAGCAUGUAUCCCUGCUCUGUGUACCACUGGAACCUCAGCCAUCACUGCAAUAUCUAGCAUACAUUCAAUGCUUGAGAUAUAUGCAGACUGAAUUUUUUGACCUAUAAACAUAAAUUAUUUUUGAUGCUGCCUGGCACACCUACUUUAUGUCCUACUCUCAGAGAUUAUUUAUUACUUACCUUCUCCAUUUGCCUCAUUGUUUACUUUAAUUAAAGUUGCUUUUAUAUUUUUGUCUUUUAGUCUUUGCGCUGUUUAUAUAUAUAUUUUUUACCUCUUUGAGCAUUAUGAACAUACUGCUAAUUUUGUCACAUUCAUCAUUUCUGAGUCUAUGUCUUUAGACUGCUUUUUCUCUUGGUUAUUGCAUGCCUUUUUAUAUACUCGAUUUUGUGAAUUUAUUAAAAUAAAACUUUAUUGACAUGCAGUCACAUUCAUUUGUUUAUAUAUUUAUCUACUUUAUUUUUUUUUAUCUAUUUUUCCUUUUUAUGGCCACAUCUGUGGCAUAUGGAAGUUCUUGGGUCAGGGGUCGAAUCAGAACUGCAGCUGCUGGGCCUGCACCACAGCCACAGCAAUGCCAGAUCUGAGCCACAACUAUGACCUAUGCCACAGCUUGUGGCAACACUGGAUAUUUACCCCACUGAGCAAGGCCAGGGAUCAAACCCACAUCCUCACAAACACUAGGCUGUGUUCUUAACCCACUGAGCCACAAAGAGAACUUCUGUAUUUCAUGUUUGGAUUGCUCUUUUUUUUUUUUUUUUUCAGUUGAGUAAAGACUUGAAGAUAUAUUUUUCCUGAGGUUUUAUUUUAAUCUUUUUUAGGAAGAUCUCUAGUACCUUUAUUAAAGGACUGAUUUUUUUUUUCUUUUUUGAGGCCUGUAGAAGUUUCCAGGCCAGGGAUUGAACUUGCACCAAGCCUUUACCUGAACCACAGAAGGGACAUUGUCAGAUCAUUAAUCACCAGGCUACCAGGGAACUCCCUAAAGGACUAAUUUAAUCUCAUUUUACAUCUUUGCUUUCUGGGUCAUCUACUGAAUGCUUGCUUAUUCGAGAAGAUAUUUCCACUUUAUCUGGAGGAAAGAUAAAUAUUUCCCGGCUCUGUGUAAGCUCUGGACAUUGUUUUUCUUAUUGUUCUAUGGUUAUUAUUAUUUCCUUAGUAUUUUUUUUUCCCUUGCUCAGAACAGUAAUGCUUUACUCAUUAACAGAUUUGUAGACAAGCAGAACUUUGUCCAGACCUAUGGACCUCUCAUUCAGCUUCAUUCUCUCUUCUCUGGAAGUCUUUUCUGCAAAUUCUAGCUAGCAUGACUUUCCUAAACUCUGAUCUCUCGCUACUCAUCUCAUUGAGAUCACUGUCUAAUGUGUGAUUUACUACCACCUCUCUGCAGCCUGGCAGUUGCCUCUAGGCAGUAACCCAGGGCCAUCAAGAGAUCACCUCCUUUUGUUCCUUUGUUUUUUUCCUGAAAUUAUCAGGGCUGCACUGAUAUUUUCUAAUGUCUGAAAGACAUUAGUUUGUAUAUUUAGUCUGAGUCUCCAUUUGUUGGAGAGAAAUCUCUUUAAUAGUUCAUGAAUGGAAAUAGAAGCCCACUCCUUUUUUGAAACACUUUUCUCCCAACCUGGUGUUAGUGACACUAUACCCUUUUAUUUUACCUAUUACCACAUAAGCUGGAUAAUGAAGCUUGCCCUCUAAGCUCUUCAGUAUAUUAUUCCUUGUAUAUUAUUCCUUACAGUGACAUAAAAUAACACAGUUAUUGGAGGAAGAAUUUAUCAAGUUGUUGUCUUUUGCAUGUUGAACAUGCAAAAAGUAUUCAAAUAAUAAAAUAAUUUCAAAAAUUUAAAAAGUAUAUUCCUCAUAUUUUCAUAAUUGGAUAGCCCCCCACCAAAUGGUGAAAUCUGUGAAUUUUUUCUUUGCAACCUCCUGGAUCAUCAUGCCACCUCCUAUCUGCUAACGCCCCUCACCACUCCUGCUGAAGAUUCAGCCACCUUGGCCUGUUCUUAUCUCAGAAACCAGCUUUCACAUUUUUUUUUUCUUAAACUGAUCUUAUUUCCAAUGAGCCUAGAUAGUUCCUAGUGCAUUUCUACAUACAUAUAAGCUGUAACUUUUACUGAUAAUAUUACAUUUGAAUAAGGACAUUUCCAUUUGGAUUCUUCAUUAGACACAAGAUCAUAUCCUGGUCCUACCAUACCACAUAUAUCUGCUGAUUUUUUCCUAUAUGACAUGGGACAAGUCAAGUAACUUUACCUAGCCUUAGUUUAUACAUUCACAAGCACAAGCUUAAAAGCCCCUUCAUAUUUUUGAUUAAAAGUUUAUGAAUAUAGAAUGAUCAACAGAUAUCUGGAAAAGUGUAGAUGUUCAUUACCUCUGGGUUUCUUUGUUCUUUGCAAGUAUUCUGAAAACUUCACCAACCUUUGAAUUUAAUCUAGUCUCACAUUACUUGCGUUCAUGAACCAUCUUUCCCAUAGUUAGUUACAGGAAGGAUUUUAAUCUGUAUCUUACUUCUUCCUUUGUUUCAGCCUUAGCUCUUUAUUUAACUGCCAGGUUUCCUCCUUAUUUGAAAUAUUAGGUAGAAAGAACACAUAUUAAAUAUAAAGAAUAAGGCACUUGAUUUUUCUUUAAAGGCUUAGGGAAACCAAAAUACUUUUGAUUGUCAGCUUAGAAAACCCAUAGUGACAGAGGCUUCAACUGGGUUAAGAACUUUGAGAUCAUAGUUGCAUGACCCAAAUUUCCCAAUACCUAGAAGGUGUAAGUACCUGUGUCUUCAGGACACGUGCUCAUUUUGAACCAGCUAAAUUGGCUCAUAAUGAAGGUCUCUGCCCUUGUUCCAAGUGUAUUUUUUUCUUAGUUUAUCUUUCAAUUGAACUUGACCAGAGCUGCAUAAGCUCAUAUAUUUGACCACCCUCUGAUACUAUAUUCACUGCUGACAAAUAUGUUAGGAAAUUCCAUACAGCAGGUAAAAAAUGUCAGAUUCAGUAAACGGUCAUUUUACCCAUAAACUGUAUCAUCUUUUAAUCUUAUCCUCAAAUCAAAUUAUUUAAGCAUAGCUCCCUAAGGACAGGCAACUAAUGUUGAGUAUAUUUUACUCAAAGCCUAUGUCAACCAACCAAAACAUGAUAAUCAUAAUAAAAUGGCUUAAGAAACUUUCCUCUUAAGCAUGCAGUAUGUAAAUUCUUAUCUAUUGAACUAGAAAGUAGGACACUCCACUUUCUGGGUUAAGAUGAAAA